CCCUUAGAUGUCCUGGGCCGCGCGCGCUACACUGAGUGUCUGAGAUACGAGUCUGCCUGGUCCGGCAAGGUCUAGGUAAUCGCUAAAAGACACAUCAUGCUUGGGAUAGAUUAUUGCAAAUAUUAAUCUUGAACGAGGAAUUCCUAGUAAGCGCAAGUCAACAGCUUGCGUUGAUUACGUCCCUGCCCUUUGUACACACCGCCCGUCGCUACUACUGAUUGGAUGUUUAAGCGAGGUUCUCGAACUGCUAGCGACUUAGCUUCGGUGAGGUCGCAGUGUGGGAAGUGAACCUAGCUUUGGUGUCUAGAGGAAGUAAAAGUCGUAACA
RNAcentral lists this ribosomal RNA (327 nucleotides) under uncultured eukaryote. Its description in RNAcentral is "partial 18S ribosomal RNA". It matches the Rfam family "Eukaryotic small subunit ribosomal RNA", at positions 1470 to 1796 of the family's 1831-position model. The record is from RNAcentral.